Non-coding RNA from Nothobranchius furzeri (turquoise killifish), 167 nucleotides. NCBI's taxonomy places the organism in Eukaryota, Metazoa, Chordata, Actinopteri, Cyprinodontiformes, Nothobranchiidae. The record is from RefSeq and is a predicted model, not a curated record.
CCCAGCCAUUUCCUCUGCCUCUUGCCCGACCAACUCAGCCAGCCUGGACGUGCCCUCCUCUCAAACUCUCUCUAACUACCUGGAAACCAACUUCAUCAGAACCUCCCGAAUCCCAUUCAACAUCUGCAUCACUCAUCCACCUUAAAUAAAUAAUUUUACUCACCUUC